Molecule: ribosomal RNA, 403 nt
Filed under: uncultured bacterium
Lineage: Bacteria
Description: partial 16S ribosomal RNA
Rfam family: Bacterial small subunit ribosomal RNA
Source: RNAcentral
AUUGAACGCUGGCGGCAGGCCUAACACAUGCAAGUCGAACGAGCGGCGGACGGGUGAGUAAUGUAUGGGGACUGCCCGAUAGAGGGGGGUAAAUACUGGAAACGGUCGCUAAUACCGCAUACUAUCGGAUAACCCAUAUGGGAUUAGCUAGUAGGUGGGGUAAAGGCUCACCUAGGCGACGAUCUCUAGCUGGUCUGCGAGGAUGAUCAGACACACUGGGACUGAGACACGGCCCAGACUCCGACGGAGGCAGAAGUGGGGAAUAUUGCAAAAUGGGGGAAAGCCUGAUGCAGCAAUGCCGCGUGUAUGAAGAAGGCCUUAGGGUUGUAAAGUACGUUCAGCGGGGAGGCGUUACCCGCAGAAGAAGCACCGGCUAACUCCGUGCCAGCAGCCGCGGUAAUUC